This 408-nucleotide ribosomal RNA is filed under the name uncultured bacterium. Its description in RNAcentral is "partial 16S ribosomal RNA". It matches the Rfam family "Bacterial small subunit ribosomal RNA", at positions 28 to 526 of the family's 1533-position model. The record is from RNAcentral.
GACGAACGCUGGCGGCGUGCUUAACACAUGCAAGUCGAACGGAGUGGCGAACGGGUGAGUAACACGUGUGUGAUCUGCCUUGCACUUCGGGAUAAGCUUGGGAAACUGGGUAUAAUACCGGAUAGUGCAAGAUGAGCUCGCGGCCCAUAAGCUUGUUGGGUGGGUACGGGCCUACCAAGGCGUCGACGGGUAGCCUGCCUGAGCGGGUGUACGGCCCAAGUGGGACUGAGCUGCGGCCCAGACCCCUACGGGAGGCAGCAGUGUGGAAUAUUACACAAUGGGCGGAAGCCUGAUGUAGCGACGCCGCGUGGGGGAUGAAGGCCUUCGGGUUGUAAACUCCUGUCGACAGGGACGCGGUACCUGUAUAAGAAGCACCGGCUAACUACGUGCCAGCAGCCGCAGUAAUAC